CCUACGGGGAGCAGCAGUGAGGAAUAUUGGUCAAUGGGCGUAAGCCUGAACCAGCCAAGUCGCGUGAGGGAUGACGGUUCUAUGGAUUGUAAACUUCUUUUAUAAGGGAAUAAAGUGAGGGACGUGUCCCGUUUUGUAUGUACUUUAUGAAUAAGGAUCGGCUAACUCCGUGCCAGCAGCCGCGGUAAUACGGAGGAUCCGAGCGUUAUCCGGAUUUAUUGGGUUUAAAGGGUGCGUAGGCGGCUUGUUAAGUCAGCUGUGAAAGUCUGUGGCUCAACCAUAGAAUUGCGGUUGAAACUGGGAGGCUUGAGUAUAGUUGAGGUAGGCGGAAUUCGUGGUGUAGCGGUGAAAUGCUUAGAUAUCACGCAGAACUCCGAUUGCGAAGGCAGCUUACUAAACCGUCACUGACACUGAUGCUCGAAAGCGUGGGGAUCAAACAGGAUUAGAUACCCUAGUAGUC
This 460-nucleotide ribosomal RNA is filed under the name uncultured bacterium. RNAcentral's name for it is "partial 16S ribosomal RNA". It matches the Rfam family "Bacterial small subunit ribosomal RNA", at positions 338 to 795 of the family's 1533-position model. The record is from RNAcentral.